Molecule: ribosomal RNA, 481 nt
Filed under: uncultured bacterium
Lineage: Bacteria
Description: partial 16S ribosomal RNA
Rfam family: Bacterial small subunit ribosomal RNA
Source: RNAcentral
GAUGAACGCUGGCGGCGUGCUUAACACAUGCAAGUCGAACGAAGCACUUUAUUUGAUUUCCUUCGGGACUGAUUAUUUUGUGACUGAGUGGCGGACGGGUGAGUAACGCGUGGGUAACCUGCCUUGUACAGGGGGAUAACAGUUGGAAACGGCAGCUAAUACCGCAUAAGCUCACGGCAUCGCAUGCUGCAGUGUGAAAAACUCCGGUGGUAUAGGAUGGACCCGCGUUGGAUUAGCUAGUUGGUGAGGUAACGGCCCACCAAGGCGACGAUCCAUAGCCGACCUGGGAGAGUGGCCGGCCACAUUGGGACUGAGACACGGCCGGAACUCCUACGGGAGGCAGCAGUGGGGAAUAUUGCACAAUGGGCGAAAGCAUGAUGCAGCGACGCCGCGAGAGCGAAGAAGUAUUUCGGUAUGUAAAGCUCUAUCAGCAGGGAAGAUAGUGACGGUACCUGACUAAGAAGCACCGGCUAAAUACGUG